Molecule: ribosomal RNA, 751 nt
Filed under: Salmonella enterica subsp. enterica serovar Potsdam
Lineage: Bacteria; Pseudomonadati; Pseudomonadota; Gammaproteobacteria; Enterobacterales; Enterobacteriaceae
Description: partial 23S ribosomal RNA
Rfam family: Bacterial large subunit ribosomal RNA
Source: RNAcentral
GAACCUGAAACCGUGUACGUACAAGCAGUGGGAGCACAGGUUUACCUGUGUGACUGCGUACCUUUUGUAUAAUGGGUCAGCGACUUAUAUUCUGUAGCAAGGUUAACCGAAUAGGGGAGCCGUAGGGAAACCGAGUCUUAACCGGGCGUUAAGUUGCAGGGUAUAGACCCGAAACCCGGUGAUCUAGCCAUGGGCAGGUUGAAGGUUGGGUAACACUAACUGGAGGACCGAACCGACUAAUGUUGAAAAAUUAGCGGAUGACCUGUGGCUGGGGGUGAAAGGCCAAUCAAACCGGGAGAUAGCUGGUUCUCCCCGAAAGCUAUUUAGGUAGCGCCUCGUGAAUUCAUCUCCGGGGGUAGAGCACUGUUUCGGCUAGGGGGCCAUCCCGGCUUACCAACCCGAUGCAAACUGCGAAUACCGGAGAAUGUUAUCACGGGAGACACACGGCGGGUGCUAACGUCCGUCGUGAAGAGGGAAACAACCCAGACCGCCAGCUAAGGUCCCAAAGUCAUGGUUAAGUGGGAAACGAUGUGGGAAGGCCCAGACAGCCAGGAUGUUGGCUUAGAAGCAGCCAUCAUUUAAAGAAAGCGUAAUAGCUCACUGGUCGAGUCGGCCUGCGCGGAAGAUGUAACGGGGCUAAACCAUGCACCGAAGCUGCGGCAGCGACGCUUAUGCGUUGUUGGGUAGGGGAGCGUUCUGUAAGCCUGUGAAGGUGGCCUGUGAGGGUUGCUGGAGGUAUCAGAAGUGCGAA